AACGAACGCUGGCGGCAGGCCUAACACAUGCAAGUCGAACGCCUAGUUUACUAGGAGUGGCGCACGGGUGCGUAACGCGUGGGAAUAUACCCUUUGGUACGGAACAACGUCUGGAAACGGACGCUAAUACCGUAUAAUGACUCCGGUCCAAAGAUUUAUCGCCAAGGGAUUAGCCCGCGUUAGAUUAGUUUGUUGGUGAGGUAAAAGCUCACCAAGACUACGAUCUAUAGCUGGUCUGAGAGGAUGAUCAGCCACACUGGGACUGAGACACGGCCCAG
This 278-nucleotide ribosomal RNA is filed under the name uncultured bacterium. RNAcentral's name for it is "partial 16S ribosomal RNA". It matches the Rfam family "Bacterial small subunit ribosomal RNA", at positions 29 to 334 of the family's 1533-position model. The record is from RNAcentral.